UACGUAGGUGCAAGCGUUAUCCGGAUUUACUGGGUGUAAAGGGAGCGCAGGCGGCACGGCAAGCCUGAUGUGAAAGCCCGCGGCCCAACCGCGGGACUGCAUUGGGAACUACCGGGCUGGAGUGCCGGAGAGGUAGGCGGAAUUCCUAGUGUAGCGGUGAAAUGCGUAGAUAUAUGGAGGAACACCAGUGGCGAAGGCGACGAUCUGGCCUGCAACUGACGCUCAGUCCCGAAAGCGUGGGGAGCAAAUAGG
RNAcentral lists this ribosomal RNA (252 nucleotides) under uncultured bacterium. RNAcentral describes it as "partial 16S ribosomal RNA". It matches the Rfam family "Bacterial small subunit ribosomal RNA", at positions 524 to 776 of the family's 1533-position model. The record is from RNAcentral.